GGGGCUGUAGCUCAGUGGUAGAGUGCCUGCCUAGCACGUGUGAAGCACUGAGUUCAAUCCUCAGCACCA
Molecule: transfer RNA, 69 nt
Filed under: Urocitellus parryii (Arctic ground squirrel)
Lineage: Eukaryota; Metazoa; Chordata; Mammalia; Rodentia; Sciuridae
Also listed under: 1 other name
Description: Spermophilus parryii (Arctic ground squirrel) tRNA
Rfam family: tRNA
About the family: Transfer RNA (tRNA) molecules are approximately 80 nucleotides in length. Their secondary structure includes four short double-helical elements and three loops (D, anti-codon, and T loops).
Source: Rfam by way of RNAcentral